This 734-nucleotide ribosomal RNA is filed under the name uncultured archaeon. Its description in RNAcentral is "bacterial SSU rRNA". It matches the Rfam family "Archaeal small subunit ribosomal RNA", at positions 102 to 835 of the family's 1478-position model. The record is from RNAcentral.
GGAUAACCUACCCUUAGGACCGGGAUAACCCUGGGAAACUGGGGAUAAUACUGGAUAGGCAAUUUUUCCUGUAAUGGUUUUUUGUUUAAAUGUUUUUUCGCCUAAGGAUGGGUCUGCGGCCGAUUAGGUAGUUGGUUAGGUAAUGGCUUACCAAGCCGUUGAUCGGUACGGGUUGUGAGAGCAAGAGCCCGGAGAUGGAACCUGAGACAAGGUUCCAGGCCCUACGGGGUGCAGCAGGCGCGAAACCUCCGCAAUGUGAGAAAUCGCGACGGGGGGAUCCCAAGUGCCAUUCUUAACGGGAUGGCUUUUCAUUAGUGUAAAGAGCUUUUGGAAUAAGGGCUGGGCAAGACCGGUGCCAGCCGCCGCGGUAACACCGGCAGCUCUAGUGGUAGCAGUUUUUAUUGGGCCUAAAGCGUCCGUAGCCGGUUUAAUAAGUCUCUGGUGAAAUCCUGUAGCUUAACUGUGGGAAUUGCUGGAGAUACUAUUAGACUUGAGACCGGGAGAGGUUAGAGGUACUCCCAGGGUAGAGGUGAAAUUCUGUAAUCCUGGGAGGACCGCCUGUUGCGAAGGCGUCUAACUGGAACGGUUCUGACGGUGAGGGACGAAAGUUAGGGGCGCGAACCGGAUUAGAUACCCGGGUAGUCCUAACUGUAAACGAUGCGGACUUGGUGUUGGGGUGGCUUUGAGCUGCUUCAGUGCCGAAAGGGAAGCUGUUAAGUCCGCCGCCUGGGAAG